UGGGGGUGCCUGAAGUCGGUGACCGCAAGGAGCUGCCUAGGGUAAAACUGGUAACUAGGGCUAAGUCGUAACAAGGUAGCCGUACCGGAAGGUGCGGCUGGAACACCUCCUUUCUAGAGC
Molecule: ribosomal RNA, 120 nt
Filed under: Acinetobacter sp.
Lineage: Bacteria; Pseudomonadati; Pseudomonadota; Gammaproteobacteria; Moraxellales; Moraxellaceae
Description: partial 16S ribosomal RNA
Rfam family: Bacterial small subunit ribosomal RNA
Source: RNAcentral